This 1046-nucleotide long non-coding RNA is filed under the name Homo sapiens (human). Its description in RNAcentral is "HSALNT0324010". The record is from RNAcentral. Lineage: Eukaryota; Metazoa; Chordata; Mammalia; Primates; Hominidae.
UGAGAUUUUUUUUAAACCUGAUGUCACAUCCAGGACAAACAAGAGAAGUCCUUUUAACCAAAUAGGACUCCUAUAUAACAAGAGUCUUUGAGAAGAGAGUCGUAUGACCUAAGAUGUCCCCUCCAACUACUUUGAUAUAAUGGCACAUGGAAGUGUGUCAUAAAGUGGGAGAAAAAGUGCAAGAAUUCCUCAAGACCCAUAUGUAAGGUUUUCUAUAAUUCACUUUGUAUGCUACAAUUGUUUGCCCUGCAUAGUGCCAGGAAGAUAUAAAAAUGUGAAAUGAACAAAUAUUGUUUAAGAGUUUAAAGAUACUUUGGAUGUCAUGACUCCAAUAAUAUUACCUUACAGAUCAACACCUGUGUUAGUCCAUUCUCAUGCUGCUAUGAAGAAAUACCUGAGACUGGGUCCAACACCAUAUGGAAGCUGCCAAGGCUUGAAGCAAUGGCCUAAGCUGGAUCUCGACCCCUUUUAGCCACAGCUGAAACUGGAAUGGCUGGGAUGCAGGACACCAAGUCCCAAGGCUGCACAGAGCAACAGGUCCCUGGGCCAGGCCCAGCAUUAGGCCUAUCAAGUGUCAUGCACAGCUCAAGAGGAAAUGCUAUCUGGAAAUCCCCCAACUCCCAUGGAAAUUCCCAGCUGGCUCCCUGUACACUGCAGAUACCUGAAGUGGUUUUGAAGACUGGGCAGCUAAGACCUAAGUGAAGAAGAAUUCCUCCCCUGCAAGGAUGACCAAGAACCCAGCCGCUCUGUUUCCUUCCCGACUGGAGUCCUCUUCUCCACUGGGUUUUUGAGGAUUAUAAUGAAUAAAACAGAACCAGAGAAGUUACGAAGCAUGUGUUUAUCACUCAGCAAUAGAGAAUUUUAAACAAAUCUUCAGGCUCGUGUGGAAAAACCGAUAAAAUAGAAAAAGCAAUCGGAAGAAUAUAAAAAUCACUGAUAAUCCCGCCACCUAGAGAAAACUACUGUUAGUAUUUUGAGUGUAUUUCCCUCCAGCUUUUUUCUAUAUAUGUGUAUGUAUUUAUAAUAUAUAAAUAAUAUACUAUAUA